UCUCCCAGCUUCUAAGCUUCGUUUACGGUGUGGGAACAGGUUCAACAGCUGAUUUUUAUUACGUAUUGCAUUUUCGCAGGUAAAUCCCACGGGCAGAUUACAUUUCGAAUCCUUUUCCCCGACGACGACGCAAUCAAAGGGGAUGGCGCCAUCCCCUUUUAGCCAGUCCCAGACAAAGGAUCUGACACGUACCAAAAGUACCUACACUCUUUGUCUGUCCUACGAAAAGCACUUGAUACAGCAGAAGGAACCUUAAAAGUUACCCCCUUUUAUAUCCCCGUUCGUACCUGCUUCUAAUGGUAACAACUGUUGGACAACAACUCGACCGAAAGGGGACAAGAAGAAAGCACAUUGCGAUGAUUGCAAUUGCGGAGCUUCUUUUCAAAUAUGUAUGAAAAGGGUCAAAUAUGCAGUCGAUGAAGCGUUACAGCUAGUGCCAACACAGGACCGCGGACAGAGGACGACACGGGUUUUGGGCCGGUGUCCUGGAAAACGGGGACAGGGUGGCAGAUUGGUCAAUCAGUACUUGAAGUGUUGGGUGUUUUUUGGACUCCAAUUGAGAUAACUUAACUUUUAUUUAAAUAACAAUUUAUACAUCAUUUUUGCAGUUGUUUGUUUUCGCUGAUUGUUACACUAAGUCACUUCGUAGAAUUGGAAAUUGGUUCUAAAGUUGAGAGAUAUCGGCAUUUAGAAAUUUGACGAUAUUUGAGUUACGUUCAGGAACACUAUUUUUAAGGAGUUACAUACAUGUAGAAAAUCUCUAAAUUUCAAAUUAAAAAUAAUUAUCUAAUCCACUUAAAAGAUGAUUUUCAAGCACUCAUGUUACAGACAAUUUAAGCUCCAAAUUUUGCCAUGCGCAAAGCGAACUGUCAAACUUUGGGAGUGUUUUUCUCUGAACACCAAGUUGAUUUACGGGCGCCACGAUAUCUCGAGAUGGGAAACUUUGCACUUUCAAAAAAUACAAGAAUAAAAACGGGCGAUAUUUUAUAUGAAAAACUUAAAAGUAUUUUUAUCUUUUUUUAAAAUAUACUUUUUGAAAAUCAGCCUUCGUCAUGCACACGGGACCGAUGUAAUGAGGCUUCACCAAAAUUUUGAGCCGAUUUGGUCAAGGCAGUGUUAAGAUAUCGAGGCACCCGUUUUUUGAAAAUGCUUACUUCUUAUAGCUGUAUCUCGGCAAUGAUACAACCAAAUGUCUUCAAAUUUAUUUUGUUAAUAGUUAAAAAUGUAUUUUUUAUUGUCCUUGGGCAUGAGUAAGGACCUCGACGCCGUUAGCAAUGUUGGCUUUAAAAUAAAAUUUCGUGAUAAUAUCACUUCCCCCCAGCCAACAUUUUUGCCAUGCGAAGCGGGCCUCGACGCUGUGUCUAGGUUUAAUUCCUAGCUAGGAGCCAUCAGUGUCUUAAGAGGUGGUCCCAAGGCCGAGUAGGAGUUCAUGAAGCAAAUUAGUCGUCUCCCACCCCUUUUAAAUUGAAAAAUGAACUCUGAAACCAGCGCUUACUCACAACAGAAACAGAGGCCUCUUCUAGGCAUUGUAGGAUAGAAUAGAUUUUGAAAUUUAUUUAAAAAAAAUAUUAUUACGUAGCAUUUUGAUAUGUCAAAAUUUCCAUAGA
Culex pipiens pallens (northern house mosquito) is the source of this 1607-nucleotide long non-coding RNA. RefSeq lists it as uncharacterized. NCBI's taxonomy places the organism in Eukaryota, Metazoa, Arthropoda, Insecta, Diptera, Culicidae. The record is from RefSeq and is a predicted model, not a curated record. The transcript has 2 exons.